GACGAACGCUGGCGGCGUGCUUAACACAUGCCAGUCGAACGGAAAGGCCCUGCUUUUGUGGGGUGCUCGAUUGGCGAACGGGUGAGUAACACGUGAGUAACCUGCCCUUGACUUUGGGAUAACUUCAGGAAACUGGGGCUAAUACCGGAUAGGAGCUCCUGCUGCAUGGUGGGGGUUGGAAAGUUUCGGCGGUUGGGGAUGGACUCGCGGCUUAUCAGCUUGUUGGUGGGGUAGUGGCUUACCAAGGCUUUGACGGGUAGCCGGCCUGAGAGGGUGACCGGCCACCUGGCGACUGAGAUACGGCGCAGACUCCUACGGGAGGCAGCAGUGGGGAAUAUGGCACAGUAGGCGGAAGCCUGAGGCAGCAACGCCGCGUGCGGGAUGACGGCCUUCGGGUUGUAAACCGCUUUCGCCUGUGACGAAGCGUGAGUGACGGUAAUGGGUAAAGAAGCACCGGCUAACUACGUG
This 468-nucleotide ribosomal RNA is filed under the name uncultured bacterium. Its description in RNAcentral is "partial 16S ribosomal RNA". It matches the Rfam family "Bacterial small subunit ribosomal RNA", at positions 28 to 507 of the family's 1533-position model. The record is from RNAcentral.